Molecule: non-coding RNA, 151 nt
Organism: Brachypodium distachyon (stiff brome)
Lineage: Eukaryota; Viridiplantae; Streptophyta; Magnoliopsida; Poales; Poaceae
Source: RefSeq, marked provisional
CCGUUAAGAUGAAAAUGAACAUGAAUUAUACUCCGAUCCAUAAUAAGUGUCGGGGAUUUAGUACAUUAGCAUAACUUUGUACUAAAUCUCCGACAGGCCGACAUUUAUUAUGGAUCGGAGGGAGUAUGAUUUGAGAUAGUAGGUAAUCAAA